Molecule: ribosomal RNA, 450 nt
Filed under: uncultured bacterium
Lineage: Bacteria
Description: bacterial SSU rRNA
Rfam family: Bacterial small subunit ribosomal RNA
Source: RNAcentral
UCACCAGACUCCUACGGGAGGCAGCAGUGGGGAAUAUUGCACAAUGGGGGAAACCCUGAUGCAGCAACGCCGCGUGAGUGAAGAAGUAUUUCGGUAUGUAAAGCUCUAUCAGCAGGGAAGAAGAGAGACGGUACCUGACUAAGAAGCCCCGGCUAACUACGUGCCAGCAGCCGCGGUAAUACGUAGGGGGCAAGCGUUAUCCGGAAUUACUGGGUGUAAAGGGCGUGUAGGCGGGCAUGCAAGCCAGAAGUGAAAUCUGGGGGCUUAACCCCCAAACUGCUUUUGGAACUGCGUGUCUUGAGUGAUGGAGAGGCAGGCGGAAUUCCCAGUGUAGCGGUGAAAUGCGUAGAUAUUGGGAGGAACACCAGUGGCGAAGGCGGCCUGCUGGACAUUAACUGACGCUGAGGCGCGAAAGCGUGGGGAGCAAACAGGAUUAGAUACCCCUGUAUA